RNAcentral lists this ribosomal RNA (494 nucleotides) under uncultured bacterium. RNAcentral describes it as "bacterial SSU rRNA". It matches the Rfam family "Bacterial small subunit ribosomal RNA", at positions 17 to 507 of the family's 1533-position model. The record is from RNAcentral.
UCCUGGCUCAGAUUGAACGCUGGCGGCAUGCCUUACACAUGCAAGUCGAACGGCAGCGGACCUUCGGGUGCCGGCGAGUGGCGAACGGGUGAGUAAUAUAUCGGAACGUACCUUUCAGUGGGGGAUAACGUAGCGAAAGUUACGCUAAUACCGCAUAUUCUGUGAGCAGGAAAGCAGGGGAUCGCAAGACCUUGCGCUGAUUGAGCGGCCGAUAUCAGAUUAGCUAGUUGGUGAGGUAAAGGCUCACCAAGGCGACGAUCUGUAGCGGGGUCUGAGAGGAUGAUCCGCCACACUGGAACUGAGACACGGUCCAGACUCCUACGGGAGGCAGCAGUGGGGAAUUUUGGACAAUGGGCGCAAGCCUGAUCCAGCCAUGCCGCGUGAGUGAAGAAGGCCUUCGGGUUGUAAAGCUCUUUCGGCCGGGAAGAAAUCGCACAGGUUAAUACCCUGUGUGGAUGACGGUACCGGAAUAAGAAGCACCGGCUAACUACGUG